RNAcentral lists this ribosomal RNA (1134 nucleotides) under Triticum aestivum (bread wheat). Its description in RNAcentral is "partial small subunit ribosomal RNA". The record is from RNAcentral. Lineage: Eukaryota; Viridiplantae; Streptophyta; Magnoliopsida; Poales; Poaceae.
AUGGCGCUCUCCGACCUCUCCCGCGACUCGCUCCUCCCCAGCUUCCUCUACUCCUCGCGCUCCUUCGCCGCCGCCGCCCCGCGCUUCCCCUCCUCCCCGUCGCCCUACCAGGCGCCCGCCUCGCCCGCCGCGGCCCCGGCUGCUGGCCUCGUCGGCGCUGGCGGGGUCGGGGGCGGCAGGCCCUUCUCGAUCCGCGCGCCCAACGAGAAGAUCGUCAUGUACUCGCCGGCCUUCUACGCCGCCUGCACCGCCGGGGGGAUCGCCAGCUGCGGCCUCACCCACAUGGCCGUCACCCCGCUCGACCUCGUCAAGUGCAACAUGCAGAUUGACCCGGCCAAAUACAAGAGCAUCACAUCUGGAUUUGGUGUUCUGUUUAAGGAGCAAGGAGCUAGGGGAUUCUUCAGGGGAUGGGUGCCUACGUUGCUUGGUUACAGUGCUCAGGGGGCUUGCAAGUUUGGGUUCUACGAGUUCUUUAAGAAGACCUACUCAGAUAUGGCUGGGCCUGAGAAUGCCGUGAAGUACAAGACCCUGAUUUACCUUGCAGGUUCAGCUUCUGCUGAGGUAAUUGCUGAUAUUGCUCUGUGCCCCUUUGAAGCUGUCAAGGUCCGUGUGCAGACACAGCCUGGAUUUGCUCGUGGGUUGAGUGACGGGCUUCCCAAGUUCAUCAAAGCUGAGGGUGCUGCUGGGCUCUAUAAGGGCAUCGUUCCACUCUGGGGUCGCCAGAUUCCUUACACCAUGAUGAAGUUUGCCUCCUUUGAGACCAUUGUUGAGCUUAUCUACAAGCACGCUGUUCCUGUUCCCAAGGCCGAGUGCAGCAAGUCUUCCCAGUUGGGUAUCAGCUUUGCUGGUGGCUACAUUGCCGGUGUCUUCUGUGCUAUUGUUUCUCACCCUGCUGACAACCUGGUCUCUUUCCUCAACAAUGCCAAGGGUGCUACAGUGGGUGAUGCUGUUAACAAGAUUGGCAUGUUGGGCCUUUUCACAAGAGGGCUACCCCUUCGUAUAGUCAUGAUUGGUACUCUUACCGGUGCUCAGUGGGGAAUCUAUGACGCGUUCAAGGUCAUGGUUGGACUCCCGACCACCGGCGGUGCUCCACCAGUUGCUCCGGUAGAGGAAGCAGCGAAAGCCAGCGCUUGA